CAGAAGAAUGGAAAGCUGUGCCUAUUGUCAAAGUUGCCUUGUGGGUUUCGUAUUUACAAGUUGAAGCAUGCUCAACUUUAUAACCAAUAAAAUUCAUAGAGGUGACAGAAGUUGACUUUAAAAAUAUACCGAGCAAUAAUUAUAUACACAAAUGGUGGGUUAGGUAUAUUGAAAUGACAAGUUUGACAAGUUUGUUACAAGCACCUCUUAAUCUUGUUCAAAUUCUACAUAAUCUAGCAUACCAAACAUAACAAAAUAUAUACCCAAUAGAGAAUCAUAGGAAGGCCUUUAUGAGGUUAUUUCGUCAUCAUCUAUUCCUCUAUGUACAGUUUUUAAAUCAACCAAGUGUCGCAUUGUUGGUCUGCCGUGUGGACAAUUCCAAGGAGACUUGAGGACAGCCAAAUGUUCAAGUAUCUGAAACAAUCAAAUACAAGAACUUUGAGCAAUAUGAACCAUGUUUUAUGCUCUGCAAUGAUGAUAAAAAUCACCAAUAGGCAUGCUUAAGUAAUCGCCACACAGAACAAUUAAUUCUAGCGUUCAAAAUAGGGGUGGGGGUGAAUAAAAUAAGAACAAGGUAGAGAGAGGAAUUAAAAAACUAAGCCUCAUUCUCAAUAAUUUGAAAUUAGUUGCCUAAAGAUGAUCUAGGG
This 647-nucleotide long non-coding RNA is filed under the name Olea europaea subsp. europaea. Lineage: Eukaryota; Viridiplantae; Streptophyta; Magnoliopsida; Lamiales; Oleaceae. The record is from RNAcentral.